CCCCAACAGCUCCCAACAUGACUGCGUUGUUUAAGUAGCCGAUUGCUCUCUUGUAUGACUGUCAAAUAUUUCAGGCAAGUGAUAUCUAGUUCUUCUAUAAGUGGGUGCAUGCUGAAUUGUUAAGGUUUAUAAUUAUUAACUGAAUCAUUGCUUUGUUGUUCGAUAGGCAGUCUAGAUUUUGGAAUGGUUAUUUACAGAACGAAGGCAGGAGGGAAGCGGUUUAAAUACAGCGCAGGGUAAAUAAGUUGAAAAGUACCUAAUUUUUGUGGAUUUAAGUACAAUAAGCUUUCAACUAAACUCACUGCAUUUUAAUUCCUUCAGUCUAUGUAUGUUAUGGGCAGAAAAUAGCUUCUCUGUUGGAAUGGUGCGAUCCAAUUCUCAGUGCACAGAAAGACAUUUUUGGAACCUGCUUUCUAGAAAGUGACCUAUGUGGGCAAUCCCUGCUUCAGCACCCCCUUCAGCUCCAGUAAUUUGAUUGCCCAGAAUAUUCUCAUUAUAAUUCACUGGCACAUGGGAACUGCACAAAUAGCAGUGAGUCAGCGUGCUGGCUAUUGGGGAUCCACAAGCAGGAUACUCAGGUGCUCAGGAUAUUUUCUUUGGAAGGAUCCCUUCUAAAGAAUGUCUUGUCUUUGCAAGAGACAAUGAGGAAUGGGAAGUCACUCUGGGUGUGACUAUUUAUCCCUCUUCUUUCAUAUUCAUUGCUCAAUUCCUUCAAAAACCUAAGUCCUGGAGCAAAGAGGCAUUUAGGGAGUCAGCUAGAAGGACUCUCCAGAGGCUGAUAAAAUUUCUCCCAGUAGCCUCUGCUAUCUAUUCAUCAGAUCCCAAAGCUGUCAGAGAAAAUCUGGUAUUUUCUCCUGCUAACUGUUGCAUAGACUGGCAAUCAGGCUUACCACCAAGUUUUCCUUUAUUAUCAAAAUGAUAUUUCUCCUAGAUAACUUAGUGCUCUUUUCUCUGAUUUAGGACUCAACAAUACCAACCUCACCAACAUCAGUAGGGCUACCUCUAUCAUCAGUAUCAUCACCACCACCCUCAGUAACAUUCCCAACAAAAACUACCAUCGUGGCUCCUAACCUGCACCACUUCCACAGCCACUGCCAUCAUCGCUACUUCCUUUAAUUCAGCAGUUAUUUACUGAGCAGUUAUUUACUCAGUUAUGCACUGAAGAUAACCAAGCACUGUGCUAGUGAAACCAGCCCAAUUGCUCCGUAGAAAUAAUGUGUAUGGGUUUUUUGAAUAAAUAUAGAAAUUGACUCUCCUGAUCUUAAAAUUUGAAGCUUCUAUUUGCCCCAUCUGAAAUCUCUUCUCAGGAAACUGACCCUCAGGCAAUGGACUGAAACUCACCAGAUCACCACAUCCAGAUAAUGAGAGCUCACACCCCUCAUUCAUCAUGACUGCUUCCUUAUCACUCCCGAACUCCUUCCUGCUUGUAGCUACGUUCCUUCUCUGCUAUAUAAACCCCCAAUUUUAGUCAGGCAGGUUUGAGACUCAUCUCCUGUCUCCUUCGCUGCAGCACCCAGAUAAAGCCUUCUUACCUGGCACCUCUCAUUGUCUCAGGGCCUAGCUCUCCAAGCAGCAAGCAACAGGACCAAGACCAAACCCCUGGCAUUUUGGUUGCAAGAAAGCUCAAGUAGCCUAUGGAGAGGAUGCAAGGCUUCCAGCUGAUGCCCUCAGCCAGGCUCAGUAGCAGCCAGAACUAGCCUACCAACGAACCUGCUGAUCAUGUGCAUAAGCCACCUUGAACGUCGAUCCUCCUGCCUGGUGGAGCCAUCCCAGCUGAUGCCACAUGAAGCAGACACAAGCUGUCCCUACUAAGCUCUGCUCAAGUUGGAUAUUCAUGAGUGAAAUAAAUGACUGUUACUAAGUAAUUAAUUUUUGGGUGGCUGUUAUGUAGCAGUAGAUAAUUGGAACAAAGCUUAUUGACAUAAUACAUCUAUAUCACAUCCUCCAAUCCAUUUUUUUAAGUAAUAAAGUUGAUGUUUGUUUUGAUUUUCAGUUACAGCUUUACAUAUUUUGUCUUAAUUAGUCAAUUUUUUCCAAACUCAAAAUGGGUUUUUGUAAGAGUAGUAGUAGGGUCCUAGAAUAAUGGCAAUUCUCUUUCACUGGAGAAAGUUUUGUAGAGAAGACAAAAGAAUUUUUACAAGUACUCCACUGGUGAAAACUCAUAAACCUUGAAGGUAUUUUUAAAUUCAUCAUGCAUUUAUCAAUUUAUAAAUGAAUUCAUCAUUCAUUGGUCCAUUCAUCCAUCCCUCCAUCCAUUUCUAGAUCCUCUCAUAAGAGGAAAUCUAGGAAUAAGCCUGAUCAGUGAAAGUUUCAUGGGAAAGAGGAAGGAGGAAGAAAUUAUUUUAUUUUUAGAGUUUUGGGAGUUAGUGGUUAUGGACUUGCACUGGAGAAGAUGGGUGAGAAAGUUCAAGGUUUCUAAAAUGGGAAAGUAGGCCUGGAGAAAAUGUUGCAACCAAGAUUAUAAGGCCAAUUACCAGGUCUGAUUACCAGAAAAUAAUUUUUAAGGCAGGAAUAUUAGGCCAUAUCAGUACCUGAAAGAGUGAUCGAGGCUAAUUUGUUCAUUCAUGUAACAACAAUUUAUUAUGUGCUACUAAGUACCAUCACUAUAUUAUAAACUGAGGGUUCAGUAGUGGAUAAGAGAAACUAAUUCCCUGGCCUAAUGAAGAUUUCAUUCAACGGGGAAAACAAGAAACAUAUAUGUAAAUUAGCAAAAGUUAAUAAUAUCAUUCAAAGAGUGCUAAGAGCUCUGAAAAUAGUAAAGCAGGGUGACUGAUAAAACAGGACUAAGCAGGUAACAGUAAGAGGUGAUCAGGGAAAAAACCUCUGAAGAAAACAUAUUUGAUCUGGAAUCCAAAUGGCAAGUAGAAUGAAGAAGGUAAAUAAUUCAUACAAGAGCAUAUCUCUUCCAUAGCAAGUGCAAAGACCCUGGGCAAAUGCCAUAGUUGAGCUAGCACCCACCACUGGCUUCAAGUGAUGGGUGAGUGAUACAGACUCAAGGAAAGGGCCAAAAGGGCAGACAAAACCAGUUCAAUUUGUCACUUAUUCAUCCACCCAUUGAUCCAUCUACUGAUCCAUUUAUCCAUCCAUCCAUCCAUCCAUCCAUCCAUCCAUCCAUCCAUCUAUUCAACAUACAUGUUGGGUGCCCUUUACAUACCAGGACCUGUACUGGGCAUGGGAACUGCAGAGAUGAAAAGAUGAACAAUCUCUGUACUUGAGGGACUCAUCUCACUCUGUGAGAUGAACUGGCAUGUGACUGAAAACUCACUAUAUUGGUAACGAGACUAAAACACAGAGCUUAAUGAUUUAACCUGAUACCACCCAAGUGGUUAGCGGUUAGUGGCAGGGCUUCAGAAUUUUAUUUUCCUUCCCUACAGGGAAAACCAUUAUGUGUGACCUACUUUUUCAAACUCUCUUCCUCAGUGGGGCAACAAUUAGAGUUUAUCUAUUGCUAGUGCUUACCAUUUUAGGCUCCUUUAAUUAGAGUGUUUUAAAUUAGUGUUAUUUUAAUUUUGCUUAUCUCCUGAGACAUUAUAGAGGAUAAAUAGCAAAUGAAAUAAUGUACAUGAAAACACAUUGUAACCCAUAAACCAUCAUACAGAUGUGUGUUAUAUACAGUUUUAUAUUUGAGGAUAUAGCUUUAUGCAUUAGUACUGCUUCCUCCUCAGGGAUGUCUCCAAAAGAAUUCAGAGUAAAACAGACUUGUGGAUUGAUGCUUUAAAGACAUUUUGUAUUUUCUUUAAAAAUAAAAUUGACUCACAGUAGGUGCUUAAUAAAUAUUUGUUCAAAGAAUGCAUAAGAUGCAAUAUUCAGAGACAUAGAUUCAGUGUAGUAGGCAUCAGUGUGGCUACUUGGCUACUUACUGUGCAAAAGAUGUCAAUUUGUGAGUGCAAAUUCAUCUUAAGGAAAUUCUCUGAUUUAAUUUAAGCAUUGGUAGAGAGAUUUACUAUUAUCCUCCUUGGAAAUGAAAAGCAUAUAGCUCAGGGAAGGAAGAUCACAUUUUUAGGAGAACUAUCUGGGGGCAGAUUACCCAAAGUGUUAAUUAUUAUAAUUACUAUUGUUAAGUUGGUUUUAAAGUCCUAUAUGAUGUAAUAUCAUGUUCUCUUUUUGUUUCUCCAGCUGAGCUGAUGAUCUUUUAAAUAAAAAACUACAACCACCUGUCUU
This 4161-nucleotide long non-coding RNA is filed under the name Homo sapiens (human). RNAcentral's name for it is "non-protein coding lnc-FAM84B-15:116". Lineage: Eukaryota; Metazoa; Chordata; Mammalia; Primates; Hominidae. The record is from RNAcentral.